Molecule: ribosomal RNA, 467 nt
Filed under: uncultured bacterium
Lineage: Bacteria
Description: bacterial SSU rRNA
Rfam family: Bacterial small subunit ribosomal RNA
Source: RNAcentral
UUCCCAGACUCCUACGGGAGGCAGCAGUGAGGAAUAUUGGUCAAUGGGCGCGAGCCUGAACCAGCCAAGUCGCGUGAGGGAUGACGGCCCUACGGGUUGUAAACCUCUUUUGUCGGGGAGCAAAUUCCGUUACGUGUAACGGAGUCGAGAGUACCCGAAGAAAAAGCAUCGGCUAACUCCGUGCCAGCAGCCGCGGUAAUACGGAGGAUGCGCGCGUUAUCCGGAUUUAUUGGGUUUAAAGGGCGCGUAGGCGGGCUUUUAAGUCAGCGGUAAAAAUUCGGGGCUCAACCCCGUCCGGCCGUUGAAACUGGGGGCCUUGAGUGGGCGAGAAGAAGGCGGAAUGCGUGGUGUAGCGGUGAAAUGCAUAGAUAUCACGCAGAACCCCGAUUGCGAAGGCAGCCUUCCGGCGCCCUACUGACGCUGAGGCACGAAAGUGCGGGGAUCGAACAGGAUUAGAUACCCCAGUA